RNAcentral lists this ribosomal RNA (497 nucleotides) under uncultured bacterium. Its description in RNAcentral is "partial 16S ribosomal RNA". It matches the Rfam family "Bacterial small subunit ribosomal RNA", at positions 28 to 507 of the family's 1533-position model. The record is from RNAcentral.
GAUGAACGCUGGCGGCGUGCCUAAUACAUGCAAGUCGAGCGAACGGACGAGAAGCUUGCUUCUCUGAUGUUAGCGGCGGACGGGUGAGUAACACGUGUAUAACCUACCUAUAAGACUGGGAUAACUUCGGGAAACCGGAGCUAAUACCGGAUAAUAUUUUGAACCGCAUGGUUCAAAAGUGAAAGACGGUCUUGCUGUCACUUAUAGAUGGAUCCGCGCUGCAUUAGCUAGUUGGUAAGGUAACGGCUUACCAAGGCAACGAUGCAUAGCCGACCUGAGAGGGUGAUCGGCCACCCUGGAACUGAGACAGGGUCCAGACUCCUGCGGGAGGCAGCAGUAGGGAAUCGUACGCAAUAGGCGAAAGCCUGACGGAGCAACGCCGCGUGAGUGAUGAAGGUCUUCGGAUCGUAAAACUCUGUUAUUAGGGAAGAACAUAUGUGUAAGUAACUGUGCACAGCUUGACGGUACCUAAUCAGAAAGCCACGGCUAACUACGUG